RNAcentral lists this ribosomal RNA (966 nucleotides) under Xerosoma canaliculatum. Its description in RNAcentral is "SSU rRNA". It matches the Rfam family "Eukaryotic small subunit ribosomal RNA", at positions 419 to 1322 of the family's 1831-position model. The record is from RNAcentral. Lineage: Eukaryota; Metazoa; Arthropoda; Insecta; Phasmatodea; Pseudophasmatidae.
CAGGAAGCAGCAGGCGCGCAAAUUACCCACUCCCGGCACGGGGAGGUAGUGACGAAAAAUAACGAUACGGGACUCAUCCGAGGCCCCGUAAUCGGAAUGAGAACACUUUAAACCCUUUAACGAGUAUCCAUUGGAGGGCAAGUCUGGUGCCAGCAGCCGCGGUAAUUCCAGCUCCAAUAGCGUAUAUUAAAGUUGCUGCGGUUAAAAAGCUCGUAGUUGGAUCUGUGUCCCACGCUGUCGGUUCACCGUUCGUCGGUGUUUAACUGGCAUGCCCGUGUGGACGUCCUGCUGGUGGAUGCGGUCGGCCGUGGGCCUUCGGGUUCUGCGCGUCGGCGGUCCGAUUCAAUCCUACCGCGGUGCUCUUCACCGAGUGUCGAGGUGGGCCGGCACGUUUACUUUGAACAAAUUAGAGUGCUUAAAGCAGGCAGUGGUUCGCCUGAAUAUUGUGUGCAUGGAAUAAUGGAAUAGGACCUCGGUUCUAUUUUGUUGGUUUCCGGAACUUGAGGUAAUGAUUAAUAGGGACAAACGGAGGCAUCCGUAUUGCGACGUUAGAGGUGAAAUUCUUGGAUCGUCGCANGACGAACUUAAGCGAAAGCAUUUGCCGAGCGUGUUUUCACUAAUCAAGAACGAAAGUUAGAGGUUCGAAGGCGAUCAGAUACCGCCCUAGUUCUAACCAUAAACGAUGCCAGCCAGCGAUCCGCCGAAGUUCCUCCGAUGACUCGGCGGGCAGCUUCCGGGAAACCAAAGCUUUUGGGUUCCGGGGGAAGUAUGGUUGCAAAGCUGAAACUUAAAGGAAUUGACGGAAGGGCACCACCAGGAGUGGAGCCUGCGGCUUAAUUUGACUCAACACGGGAAACCUCACCAGGCCCGGACACCGGAAGGAUUGACAGAUUGAGAGCUCUUUCUUGAUUCGGUGGGUGGUGGUGCAUGGCCGUUCUUAGUUGGUGGAGCGAUUUGUCUGGUAUC